Non-coding RNA from Pelobates cultripes (western spadefoot toad), 532 nucleotides. The record is from the annotation of a GenBank genome assembly. NCBI's taxonomy places the organism in Eukaryota, Metazoa, Chordata, Amphibia, Anura, Pelobatidae.
AGGCGGUGACCGUGGCGAUGUAGGUGGAAGCGGCGAUGGAGGAGGAGGAUGAGGUAGCCAACACUGUUUUUUAUAUAUAUAUAUAUAUAUAUAUUUUUUUUAUUGGGGUAGCCCCCCAAAUAUUCGGACAUAUAAAAAAGACAACUCUGUUCCACAGAGUAGCUGUUGACAUUAUAGUUGCGCAGGCACUUUGUUGACUCUAGAGAACCUCGGGCCAAUCGCACAUCCCUGUGAUGGCGACUUUGCAUUUGGAUUUCAUCCAUAUCAACUUUUAAUGCCAGUUUCUGUGCCUACCAUGGUGACCACGGGUAACGGGGAAUCAGGGUUCCAUUCCGUACAGGGACCCUGAGAAACGGCUACCACAUGCAAGGAAGGCAACGGGCAGUGACGACAAAUAACAAUACAGGACUCUUUAGAGGCCCUGUAAUUGUAAUGAGUCCACUUGAAAUCCUUUAACUCUGAUCAAUUGGAGGGAAGUCUGGUGCAGAGCCACUGACCCGUGCGUGCUGCAGCUGAAACUCCACUAUCGCCU